UGGGGGUAAAGCGCAUGCAGGUGGUUUGUUAAGUCAGAUGUGAAAGCCCGGGGCUCACCCUCGGAAUAGCAUUUGAAACUGGCAGACUAGAGUACUGUAGAGGGGGGUAGAAUUUCAGGUGUAGCGGUGAAAUGCGUAGAGAUCUGAGGGAAUACCGGUGGCGAAGGCGGCCCCCUGGACAGAUACUGACACUCAGAUGCGAAAGCGUGGGGAGCAAACAGGAUUAGAUACCCUGGUAGUCCACGCCGUAAACGAUGUCUACUUGGAGGUUGUGGCCUUGAGCCGUGGCUUUCGGAGCUAACGCGUUAAGUAGACCGCCUGGGGAGUACGGUCGCAAGAUUAAAACUCAAAUGAAUUGACGGGGGCCCGCACAAGCGGUGGAGCAUGUGGUUUAAUUCGAUGCAACGCGAAGAACCUUACCUACUCUUGACAUCCAGAGAACUUUCCAGAGAUGGAUUGGUGCCUUCGGGAACUCUGAGACAGGUGCUGCAUGGCUGUCGUCAGCUCGUGUUGUGAAAUGUUGGGUUAAGUCCCGCAACGAGCGCAACCCUUAUCCUUGUUUGCCAGCGAGUAAUGUCGGGAACUCCAGGGAGACUGCCGGUGAUAAACCGGAGGAAGGUGGGGACGACGUCAAGUCAUCAUGGCCCUUACGAGUAGGGCUACACACGUGCUACAAUGGCGCAUACAGAGGGCGGCCAACUUGCGAAAGUGAGCGAAUCCCAAAAAGUGCGUCGUAGUCCGGAUUGGAGUCUGCAACUCGACUCCAUGAAGUCGGAAUCGCUAGUAAUCGUGGAUCAGAAUGCCACGGUGAAUACGUUCCCGGGCCUUGUACACACCGCCCGUCACACCAUGGGAGUGGGCUGCAAAAGAAGUAGGUAGUUUAACCUUCGGGGGGACGCUUACCACUUUGUGGUUCAUGACUGGGGUGAAGUCGUAACAAGGUA
This 944-nucleotide ribosomal RNA is filed under the name uncultured bacterium. RNAcentral describes it as "bacterial SSU rRNA". It matches the Rfam family "Bacterial small subunit ribosomal RNA", at positions 555 to 1498 of the family's 1533-position model. The record is from RNAcentral.